RNAcentral lists this ribosomal RNA (466 nucleotides) under uncultured bacterium. RNAcentral's name for it is "partial 16S ribosomal RNA". It matches the Rfam family "Bacterial small subunit ribosomal RNA", at positions 28 to 507 of the family's 1533-position model. The record is from RNAcentral.
GACGAACGCUGGCGGCGUGCUUAACACAUGCAAGUCGAACGGAAAGGCCUCUUUCGGGGGGUGCUCGCGUGGCGAACGGGGGAGUAACACGUGAGUAACAUGCCCUUGACACUGUGGUAACUUCAGGAAACUGGGGCUAAUACCGGAUAGGAGAUCCUGCUGCAUGGUGGGGGUGGGAGAGUUUCGGCGGUUGGGGAUGGACUCGCGGCUUAUCUGCUCGUUGGUGGGGGAGAGGCGUACCAAGGCUUUUACGGGUGGCCGGCCUGAGAGGGUGACCGGCCACAUUGGACCUGAGUUACGGCCAGAACUCCUACGGGGGGCGGAGUGGGGAAAAAUGGACCAUUGGUGGGAGCCUGAUGCAACAAACCCGUGUUGGGGGAGACCGGCUUUGGGUUUGAAACCGCCUUCGCCCAUGAAGAAGCCGUGUGUGACGGUAGUGGGUAAAGAAGCACCGGCUAACUACGUG